UACGAAGGGUGCAAGCGUUACUCGGAAUUACUGGGCGUAAAGGGCGCGUAGGCGGCAAUUCAAGUCAUCUGUGAAAUCUCCGGGCUUAACUCGGAACGGUCAGAUGAUACUGCUUUGCUAGAGUGCGGAAGGGGCAAUCGGAAUUCUUGGUGUAGCGGUGAAAUGCGUAGAUAUCAAGAGGAACACCUGAGGUGAAGACGGGUUGCUGGGCCGACACUGACGCUGAGUGCGCGAAAGCCAGGGGAGCAAACGGG
RNAcentral lists this ribosomal RNA (254 nucleotides) under uncultured bacterium. RNAcentral describes it as "partial 16S ribosomal RNA". It matches the Rfam family "Bacterial small subunit ribosomal RNA", at positions 524 to 776 of the family's 1533-position model. The record is from RNAcentral.